RNAcentral lists this ribosomal RNA (484 nucleotides) under uncultured bacterium. RNAcentral describes it as "partial 16S ribosomal RNA". It matches the Rfam family "Bacterial small subunit ribosomal RNA", at positions 30 to 507 of the family's 1533-position model. The record is from RNAcentral.
AUUGAACGCUGGCGGCAUGCCUUACACAUGCAAGUCGAACGGCAGCACGGACUUCGGUCUGGCGGCGAGUGGCGAACGGGUGAGUAAUGUAUCGGAACGUACCUUUCAGUGGGGGAUAACGUAGCGAAAGUUACGCUAAUACCGCAUAUUCUGUGAGCAGGAAAGCAGGGGAUCGAAAGACCUUGCGCUGAUUGAGCGGCCGAUAUCAGAUUAGCUAGUUGGUGGGGUAAAGGCCUACCAAGGCGACGACCUGUAGCGGGUCUGAGAGGAUGAUCCGCCACACUGGAACUGAGACACGGUCCAGACUCCUACGGGAGGCAGCAGUGGGGAAUUUUGGACAAUGGGGGCAACCCUGAUCCAGCCAUGCCGCGUGAGUGAAGAAGGCCUUCGGGUUGUAAAGCUCUUUCGGCCGGGAAGAAAUCGCAUAGGCUAAUACCCUGUGUGGAUGACGGUACCGGAAGAAGAAGCACCGGCUAACUACGUG